UUGGCCUACGGGACGCAGCAGUGGGGGAUAUUGCACAAUGGGGGGAACCCUGAUGCAGCGACGCCGCGUGGGUGAAGAAGCGCCUCGGCGCGUAAAGCCCUGUCAGCAGGGAAGAAAAUGACGGUACCUGAAGAAGAAGCCCCGGCUAACUACGUGCCAGCAGCCGCGGUAAUACGUAGGGGGCAAGCGUUAUCCGGAUUUACUGGGUGUAAAGGGAGCGUAGACGGUGAGACAAGUCUGAAGUGAAAGCCCGGGGCUCAACCCCGGGACUGCUUUGGAAACUGCCUGACUGGAGUGCUGGAGAG
Molecule: ribosomal RNA, 305 nt
Filed under: uncultured bacterium
Lineage: Bacteria
Description: bacterial SSU rRNA
Rfam family: Bacterial small subunit ribosomal RNA
Source: RNAcentral